AACGAACGCUGGCGGCAUGCCUAACACAUGCAAGUCGAACGAUGCCUUCGGGCCUAGUGGCGCACGGGUGCGUAACGCGUGGGAAUCUGCCUUUCGGUUCGGAAUAACUCAGGGAAACUUGAGCUAAUACCGGAUAACGUCGCAAGACCAAAGAGUUAUCACCGAAAGAUGAGCCCGCGUAGGAUUAGCUAGUUGGUGAGGUAAAGGCUCGCCAAGGCGACGAUCCUUAGCUGGUCUGAGAGGAUGAUCAGCCACACUGGGACUGAGACGCGGCCCAGACUCCUACGAGAGGCAGCAGUGGGGAAUAUUGGAGAGUGAGCGAGAGCCUGAGCCAGCGAGGCCGCGUGAGUGAUGAAGGCCUUAGGGUUGUAAAGCUCUUUUACCCGGGAAGAUAAUGACGGUACCGGGAGAAUAAGCCCCGGCAAACUCCUU
Molecule: ribosomal RNA, 432 nt
Filed under: uncultured bacterium
Lineage: Bacteria
Description: partial 16S ribosomal RNA
Rfam family: Bacterial small subunit ribosomal RNA
Source: RNAcentral